AGGGAAUCUUCCACAAUGGACGAAAGUCUGAUGGAGCAACGCCGCGUGAGCGAUGAAGGCCUUCGGGUCGUAAAGCUCUGUUGUCAGGGAAGAACAAGUACCGGAGUAACUGCCGGUACCUUGACGGUACCUGACCAGAAAGCCACGGCUAACUACGUGCCAGCAGCCGCGGUAAUACGUAGGUGGCAAGCGUUGUCCGGAAUUAUUGGGCGUAAAGCGCGCGCAGGCGGCCCUUUAAGUCUGAUGUGAAAGCCCACGGCUCAACCGUGGAGGGUCAUUGGAAACUGGGGGACUUGAGUGCAGAAGAGGAAAGCGGAAUUCCACGUGUAGCGGUGAAAUGCGUAGAGAUGUGGAGGAACACCAGUGGCGAAGGCGGCUUUCUAGUCUGUAACUGACGCUGAGGCGCGAAAGCGUGGGGAGCAAAC
RNAcentral lists this ribosomal RNA (425 nucleotides) under uncultured bacterium. RNAcentral describes it as "bacterial SSU rRNA". It matches the Rfam family "Bacterial small subunit ribosomal RNA", at positions 356 to 773 of the family's 1533-position model. The record is from RNAcentral.